UACGAAGGGGGCUAGCGUUGCUCGGAAUGACUGGGCGUAAAGGGCGCGUAGGCGGCUUGCUGAGUCAGACGUGAAAUUCCUGGGCUUAACCUGGGGGCUGCGUUUGAUACCGGCGGGCUUGAGUGCGGAAGAGGGUCGUGGAAUUCCCAGUGUAGAGGUGAAAUUCGUAGAUAUUGGGAAGAACACCGGUGGCGAAGGCGGCGACCUGGUCCGUGACUGACGCUGAGGCGCGAAAGCGUGGGGAG
This 245-nucleotide ribosomal RNA is filed under the name uncultured bacterium. RNAcentral's name for it is "partial 16S ribosomal RNA". It matches the Rfam family "Bacterial small subunit ribosomal RNA", at positions 524 to 768 of the family's 1533-position model. The record is from RNAcentral.